RNAcentral lists this ribosomal RNA (253 nucleotides) under uncultured bacterium. Its description in RNAcentral is "partial 16S ribosomal RNA". It matches the Rfam family "Bacterial small subunit ribosomal RNA", at positions 524 to 776 of the family's 1533-position model. The record is from RNAcentral.
UACGUAGGGGGCAAGCGUUGUCCGGAAUCAUUGGGCGUAAAGAGCGUGUAGGCGGGUCGUUAAGUCAGGGGUGAAAUCCUAGAGCUCAACUCUGGAACUGCCUUUGAUACUGGCGACCUAGAGUUCGGAAGGGGUUAGUGGAAUUCCCAGUGUAGAGGUGAAAUUCGUAGAUAUUGGGAAGAACACCAGUGGCGAAAGCGGCUAACUGGUCCGAUACUGACGCUGAGGUGCGAAAGCGUGGGGAGCAAACAGG